CAUUGGUCUAGGUGGUGAUUCCUAUGAAUGUCUCAGAAGGGAUGCUGCUCCCAUCUUCCCACUUCCAUGAACGGUGUCUACCUGGCUUUGAUGAGACCCGGGACAUGAUGGGACAAGCCCAGUCAGAGCAAGGGGCUCCUCUUAGCAUCCAGCAAUUGGUCCCAGGCAGUUUGACCCCAAAGCCAGGAAACAUCCACUCACAGUGAAAGAUUCAGCUCUGCCUCUCUGUCACUGUGUGACCUUGAGAAAGGGCUCUACCCUGGCCCUGCUUGUCUCAUCAGGAAAUGAGGACCACUGCUGAUGCUCACAGGACCUCUGAGAACAGCACAGCAUCAUUGUAAAAGAUCCACAGAUGCCUUCCAUAAAUUCCAGGGUUUUGUUUUCUUUGCCUUUUACACUGAGGCACCUUUGAGUGUUUCCUGAAGAGUUUCUGAGCACAUAAGAUGUGUGUGCGGCUCUCCUUUCCCACCCUCCAGGGUUGAGCCUGACUCCUUCAUAGCGAUCACUCAAUAAAUAUUUAUUGAUUUGAUCUGA
This is a non-coding RNA of Peromyscus maniculatus bairdii (prairie deer mouse), 534 nucleotides long. Lineage: Eukaryota; Metazoa; Chordata; Mammalia; Rodentia; Cricetidae. The record is from RefSeq and is a predicted model, not a curated record.